AUACGUAGGGGGCGAGCGUUAUCCGGAAUUAUUGGGGGCGUAAAGGGUGCGUAGGUGGUCUGAUAAGCGUGGGGUGAAAGGCAAUAGCUUAACUAUUGUAAGCCUUGCGAACUGUCAGACUUGAGUGCAGGAGAGGAAAGUGGAAUUCCUAGUGUAGCGGUGAAAUGCGUAGAUAUUAGGAGGAACACCAGUGGCGAAGGCGACUUUCUGGACUGUAACUGACACUGAGGCACGAAAGCGUGGGGAGC
Molecule: ribosomal RNA, 248 nt
Filed under: uncultured bacterium
Lineage: Bacteria
Description: partial 16S ribosomal RNA
Rfam family: Bacterial small subunit ribosomal RNA
Source: RNAcentral